RNAcentral lists this unclassified non-coding RNA (2753 nucleotides) under Leishmania donovani. Its description in RNAcentral is "gene:LdHU3.35.2030(CDS-product:hypothetical_prote in_conserved)". The record is from RNAcentral. Lineage: Eukaryota; Euglenozoa; Kinetoplastea; Trypanosomatida; Trypanosomatidae.
CCGCAGCAGACGCAGCACCGGUACCAGCAGCCCUCCAACGCGAGCACUGGACAAUUACCUGUGUCGCCCUCACGUUUCCGUUAUUGCCUUCACUGCAGAACAAACGAACGCAGCUUGACUGCUCGCGCAUUGCGUGAAGGUGUGUCUGCGUACAUGUCUGUGCCCUCCCCCUCCGCCGCUCCCCCUUUCCUAACCUGCAGAGACGCACCAGAGAGAAAAAGCUGAGCAAGAGGGUGGUGCCGAUAGUGAAGACGGAAGGAAAAGAGACAGAGCCUUGUGCGCGAUGCAGCUGGGCUCGCCUGUUCUGGCUGGUCGACGACGCCGCUACCGCCACACCUCUGCCGGCGCCAUGCUCUCUCCCUGUGCCGCUCACUGCUUCCUGCGCGCUAUCCUGCUCCUCGUUUACCUGUUUAUACUUUGCGCCGCUGCCCAAGGCGGUGCAGCCGCGCAGCGCGUAUCCGCUUCAGCGGGCACCGCGGCUUCGACCAAAGGAACUGCGGGAUACACCGAUCUCCUUUCUCGGGCAAAUGCAUCGGCGGUGCAGCGGUACGUCAACGAUGAGCACUCAUCUUGCCCAGCUCUUCCAUUCUCCUUUUAUGUCGCUGCAGCCAUGGGCAUGUGGUCGCGGAUCGACCGUCUGGCCAGUUGUCCCUCCACUGGGUUCAGCACGGUCCUCGACGACAUUAGGCUCUCGCGCGAGGCUCGCACGUCCGGCGGCACACUGUUAUCGGAACUUUGGCGCCGCGCUCGAGGCAUCCGCGAGGAGAGUCUGUUCUAUGACAACGCAGCAGAGUUCAUAGCGCUCGAGACGGAAAUCAAGCGGUUUGUACGCGCCAACCACACUCUCGGCAUGCACCCACCCCAUUACGGUGACGUCUUGAGCAGCGUUGCCGAUAUUCUUGGCCUCAACGUCACGGCAGACCUCCUGCCUCCGGACGGUGAUGGUCCGCUGCCGAUCAUGGCGGACGGGCCGGGUAUGGAAAGCGUAGACCAAGAAUGCGAGAGCGAUCCUAUCUGCCUGCAGCGUGGCGCCCUCAAUGAGUACCGGAGGCAUGCAAAUCGCACACUUGAAGCGUCGCCGCACCUCAUCGUCAGUGAUGCCACGUUUGCGCAGGCGAUGGCGUACUACCAGAAGAACCUUGUCUCCUCCAUCGUUGUGCGGGCUUACGAUCUCAUGUCCGGCCCUUCGCACUCCUUCGAGCACGAUCUUGCUGGCUUUCUGCGCACCGUCCAGCAAAUGUGGGACGCCGCGACGCGUGAGGUAGAGCGGGAAGAGGGAAACGCAGCAGCUAAAGAUGAGACGGUGGCCUUGAGAGGCGCGAAUAUCACCGAUUCGAGCAAGGGGAGGAGAGCAUUGCCAUCGCUAUCGCAGCCAUUUCUGCCCUUUAUCAAGGUGACCGACUUCACUGGACCGCCGAUGUUGAACCGCGCCCGCUCUAUCUUCUUCCACGACCGCCCUGAACCACCGUUGCGCGGCAGCGGCAGUACGCGCCAGCGACCCCUUCAUCGUGUGCUGCCCGCAGCCAUUGUGUACCACACCAGUCCCAGCUGCGCGAGUUGCGAGGUGUACGAUCGCGCCUUCGACCUGCUUCCCAGUCUUUUCAAGGGCCUGUGCAGUCGCCCACAUGUCAGCAUGGUCAGCUGCAGCCCGCUUACGCUCUUCCUGCGCACCACGCAAAUCGGCGCCUUCGAUCUGGUGCCCUCAAUGGGCAUCUAUGCGCGGCUGGUGUACUCGCGAGAAGCGGUGCUGCGGACAGCCGACGCAAGCGGUUUUUUCUUCUCCGGCGGCAGCGCCGAUCCCGUCGACGAUGAUGAUGCGGCUGACGACGCGCGCUUCUACAGUCUCAAGUCCAAAUACGGGUCACAUCGGCACGGUAUCGAGCGCGAGGUGCUGCCGCGAGACCAGUUCACACCGAAUUACGUUUCUCUCCGUCAAAUAUCCGACGGGACGAGCGUCGAGGAGGCGCUGACGAGCAUGUUCGCCGAACUGGUCGAGCACGGAGUUGUGCAGUUUGCAUUCAUUGGCAAGUCGCAGCUGAACCGCAUUUUGAAGAAAAACCAAGAGGUGCUGGAGAGACUGGAGCAGCGUCGGCGUGAGGAGGAAGGGAACGCAAAAAACGGCACCGGCGCAGGUGCCACGUCAUCGCCGCCGGCGCCAAACCCGGAGGCGGAUCCGGAGUACCAGAAGGUCGUCACAUUCCACGAUUUGGCCGCGGAGCUGGUGUCCUCCUACAUCAAGUCGCACUUCGGCGACGUGAACCCCUCCAUGACUAGCCAGGAAUGGCCUCGCCCCAGUGCGUGGCCCACCGCCUCCUCCUGGUGGUUGCUGUCGUGGCUGAUCAACGCCGUUGCUGCGUUGUGGGAUUGCGUCUGGUUUGAGCUGGAGCGUCCCCUAGUGCCCAUACUUUUUCUGCUUGUGUUCAGCGCUCAACUGUUGUGGAAUCGCGUCGAGCAGGUGACCUACUGGUGAUGCACAACCGCUGCGGCUGAGGAGGAGCAACAGCGAAAGAAGAAAGCGUGCGAGACAGGCGUUGUGCAACACAGAAGAGCAAUCGGAGGUGCGACGGCAAAGGAACGAUUUCCCGGAGAGCGCGCGCGCGAGAAAGAGUGCAGGCAAAGAUGUGCUACGCUGAGCGUCUCUGUCUUCGCCGGCGCGUGUAUGUGGACUUCUUAGUUGUGUUUCCGCCUCUUCCCCCCUCCGUUUUUCUAUUCGCGUCGAAUUCCAUCACCAUGCAGACGCAUGCAUUCAUGUC